UUCCACAUGCAUUACAGCACAAAUAAAUCCUGCUUUAUUCAGUUAUUAUAGCUCUUGUACCUUCUCUCUAAAUUUACACAGCCUAUGAAACUGUUGCUGUUUUGGGAGAUUUCUUCUAGCAUAAGUUAUUGUUGGUAACUUUAUUCUUUUAAUUUUGCCAAAUUCAGUUAUUUGAAUACAGACAAUCAUUUAAACCAAGACUAAAGAGACUAAUAACCUUUCAGCUUGUUUUAAGAGUGUUAUGGAACUUGAAUUAAGAAUCAAAUAGAGAAAGCAAAUAUGAUGCAGUAACUUUGGAACAUCUAUGUAUUCAGGAGGACUUUCAAGCACAGAUGCAGGCAAAUGCCUCAAACUCCUAUUGUGGUAUUUACUUGAGUGUGCACUUGUGCUUAUCUAAAAACACUUGCUAUCGAUGAUGAAAGAACAGAAUUUAUUUGGAGUAAGAUGUGACAGUAUGGACUGAAUCUCUGGAAAAGCUGCAGCACCAGAUUUGGUCUGAGAAUGUGCUGCAUUCCCAUCCACCAGGCUACAAUGACUGGAACUCCACCACAUAACUUCUCUUUUUUAAGGAGGGAAACAAGAAAGCACCUUAUGUCCAGCCUGAGAAGGCACUUGUUAAGACUGCUAUUGCUAGGAGAGGUAGUUUGUUAGGGAGCCAUCCUUACAAGAAAGACUCAAGAGCAUCUUCACUGUAACCACGGAGACUUGAUCACAGGCUUCACUCUUCAUCCAAGAAUGGAAUCAGCCUGGCCCAGUAAAGUCAAAAGUGAGGCUGUGAUCUGGUCAGUGUAUAUUUAAAAGAAUUGUGAGAGAAAACAAAGGACAUUGACUAAGGAGG
Chiroxiphia lanceolata (lance-tailed manakin) is the source of this 838-nucleotide long non-coding RNA. RefSeq lists it as uncharacterized. The record is from RefSeq and is a predicted model, not a curated record. NCBI's taxonomy places the organism in Eukaryota, Metazoa, Chordata, Aves, Passeriformes, Pipridae. The transcript has 3 exons.